AACGAACGCUGGCGGCGUGCCUAACACAUGCAAGUCUGACGGGAAAGUUCCCUUCGGGGAGUGAGUACCGUGGCGAACGGGUGAGUAACACGUGGGCAAUCUGCCCUCGGGACUGGGAUAACCUUGCGAAAGCGAGGCUAAUACCGGGUAAGCUCACGUCCCGCAUGCGGGACGUGGGAAAAGGUGGCCUCUUCUUGAAAGCUACCGCCUGAGGAUGAGCCCGCGGCCUAUUAGCUUGUUGGUAGGGUAACGGCCUACCAAGGCAACGAUGGGUAGCCGGCCUGAGAGGGUGUACGGCCACACUGGCACUGAGACACGGGCCAGACUCCUACGGGAGGCAGCAGUGGGGAAUAUUGCCCAAUGGACGAAAGUCUGAGGCAGCAACGCCGCGUGCGCGAUGAAGGCCUUCGGGUUGUAAAGCGCUUUUCUGGGGGACGAGAAAGGACGGUACCCCAGGAAUAAGUCUCGGCUAACUACGUG
This 480-nucleotide ribosomal RNA is filed under the name uncultured bacterium. RNAcentral describes it as "bacterial SSU rRNA". It matches the Rfam family "Bacterial small subunit ribosomal RNA", at positions 29 to 507 of the family's 1533-position model. The record is from RNAcentral.